Long non-coding RNA from Mastomys coucha (southern multimammate mouse), 1089 nucleotides. RefSeq lists it as uncharacterized. Lineage: Eukaryota; Metazoa; Chordata; Mammalia; Rodentia; Muridae. The transcript is spliced from 3 exons. The record is from RefSeq and is a predicted model, not a curated record.
GCAGUAGGGCCAGGCUUUCUGGGAAGGAACUUACCUCAUUAAUGUGAUGAUUAUUUUUAUUUUCUUUCCACCUCUUUAGCCUGAUGAGUCUGACUUUCUGAAGGGCACUCCCUUAGUCAGGCUACCAGCUAGCUUAAACAGAUUAACUCUUGAGGGGACAGUACUGCCUGUCCACCCACAUGUAGAUUCCAUUCUUCUGACCCGAAGGAAAGCGCUUGCCCUCCAUGGGCCUCCAGCGCUUAGAUAACACUGUGUGUCUAUUAUAGGCAUCAGUGAGGACCACUGAUGACUUGGGGGAGUAGAGCAGAAGCCAAGGCUUAUUCAUCGAGAGGUAUGGAAGCUACAUUGAGGAGAACUGAGCAUCUACUCAGCUAAGAGAAUGAAGCAGGGGAACAGAUAUCUAAGGAUAAACCUCUGAGUGUGAACUAGGAGAAAGCACUUAGCGAGGACCAUUAUCUGCCAAGUGUAUGUAUCCAGAUUCAUCUCCAGGACACAUCUUCACAACAGCUAUUGAGGUAGUAUGGCCAACUUUUUUUUUCCCCACAAAGAAAGUGAGGGGCUCACAGACGUCUGCGCCAGAUGAAAGACUGCAGAGUGCAUGCACUCAUUGUUCAGAAGUUAAUAGUAGAAGUGAAGAAAUCUGGGCAAUAGAACUAAGGAGAAUAGGGUUUGAGGAAUCAGUAGCUUCAAAAGUUUGGGUACCCAGAGGACGCUUUAUCACACACAGGAAUUCUAGCAGGGAGAAGAAAUGGAUAGAAUCCCGGUCUGAAAAGGAAAGCUCUAAAUGGUGGAAAGCGGAGUCUCAAAGCAGCUGAGGACUGGCCGUUUUCAGAUGGGAACCAAAGCCCUGUGCACGGAGAACUUUAGUGUGUAGCAUGGGACUUGCUAUGUAGACCAGCCUAGCCUUAAACUCACAGAGAUCUCCAUGGCUCUGCCUCCAGAGCGCUGAGACUUAAGGUGUGCACACCAUGCCUACCUGACUGCAGAAGUCAGCUUUAAGAAGAAGUUGUCAGGAGCCAUAAUGGGAGAAGCUAAUAACUAGCAGGUGAUCAUCCUGAAAUGGCCUGCUUCGGAUUAUUAUAUAACCUA